Molecule: long non-coding RNA, 3015 nt
Organism: Mytilus californianus (California mussel)
Lineage: Eukaryota; Metazoa; Mollusca; Bivalvia; Mytilida; Mytilidae
Exons: 13
Source: RefSeq, a predicted model, not a curated record
AUAGUUGGGAAAUAUCCUGCAAAUGCCAAAUAAAGAUAUCUAAUACGUCACUUUCAGGGAGCCAAUCGGAGAUGCAGAUACUUAUGCAUUAUGGUGAAGCUGUAAUUAAGAUGGCGACGGUCCUGCAUCUCGAAACCCCUGUGUUUUUAAGCGGUGCCAAGUCAGAAGAAGGAGAACAAUUAGGUAUUUUAGUGGCAGAGGAAACUUACAGUGAUGUUUUUUUUAAUUGGAUUUCUCUAAAAAGCCCUUACAAAAGUUAUUUGCAUAGUUUUAUACCGUCGCCUACUGAAGUUAUCUACGGCUACAGAUACCCCAAACAAUGACAUAAAUGAAUUGAAGAAAUAUAAGAAAAGACUAGGAUAAGGCAUAAAAAGAUCGCGCGACAAUAAAUAGGAUUUGCCUUUUAAAGAGGCUGUACCGCUCCCACAGCUGUACAUGACUUUUAACUUAAUAUGAUUAACUUCACUAUGAUUAAUAGUAAUAAUACGUAACCCAGGGAUCAUUAUUUGCUUUUCAAAAUGAAUUACUGAACCAAUCGUGAUUUGAACCUGUGACCCAUUGCACAGAAGAAAGUCGCUGCUCUACCAACUCAGCUAAACGAGUAAUCCACAAGCACAUGGUUAAGUAUUGACAAGAGGCAGACAACACUCCUGAUCAGGCUCCAGAUGAUAAUAAUAUUGUUUCAAUACCAUCCUCUUCUGUGCUGGAAACUCAGGUCUAUGAUUUGGAUGUUGGCAUCAUGAGAUCGCUGAUAUCCCAAUCAGCUGGACCACUGACUUCUCUAUCUAUAUAUAAAUGGUACAGAAGAAGAAUGUAUAGAAACUGGCCACCAUGAUCAAAUAGAGCCUCAGGAAACAGGGGAAGGGGACAAGGUAGUGCAGGAGACCGAUGAAGAACAAGGGGGAGUAAUAGUUCAGGAGACAGGACAGGAGAAAGGGCAAGAGCCGGAGGGGGAAACACACGUUAGAUAUGAAGAUCAUUCGAUACAGGUGAAAAGAGAAAGAAUACACUCAAUUUUCAUGGAAGAGAUUACAUUAGAAGAAAAAUGUUUAAAAGUGAGGUGUUUGAUUACGUUGUGGUUUGAUUUGUGGGGUUUGGCAGAAGUUAUUUGGGAUUACAUUCCUGUUUUUCCAGACACCCUGUCAAAUACUUGGAGGCCCAACACCUUAAUAGAUACCAACAAAAAGUGUAAAGACUUUAUACCACUUUCCAUAGGGGAACGUACAGCUUACCAGUCCACAGCAAAUGGAAAUUGCAUUUAUAAUGCAGUGUCCAUUAUCCUCUAUGGAAAUGAAGAUAUGGCUGUGGUACUGAAGCUGGCUUCAGUGCUGAAAAUGGUGGACGAUAUAGUACCAUUUUCAAAAUAUAAGAAUUUAAAGAGAAAACUAUCUGUGGGUUAAAUCUACCCUGCUGCAGGUAAAUGCAGCCUCAACAGCAGAGGAGGUAGAGUAUGGAUGCCGAAAAGAGCUGGUCUCGACUAUUCAACAUCCAUACAGGGAAGGAACUGUUUUCCAUCUACAUCUAUUGUCCCAUUUGAUGUCACGUCCAAUACAACAGCACUGCAAAAAAAUACCAGCAGUACCUGCAACUGAUCCUGCCACCGCUGACACCCCCAGCUAGACCAUCAUUUUCACACUUGGUUUGGGUGCCUGCCAAUCCAAGAAAUGCUUUUGCAUCUAUCAACCAUGUGGUUCCAGCUGUUUGCUCAUUGGGACCUUAUGGAAGCAGUAUUGAGGAUUGUGUGUUCCUUGGCCUUGGGUUGUGCUGUUUUAUGGUCAGCCACCACAAGGAUAUAACCCCAGGCUGGGUGGAAUGUACCCUUUGUGGACAGUGGGUUCAUGACACAUGCAUGGGUGUCACUGCAGCAGCCUUUAGCUUGCAGGAUGAUUUCCCAUGUGAAUGUGAUUGCCUGCAAAAUGGAGAUUUAAAACUGAAAAGCAUUGAAUACUACACAACUUUGCAGGUUAAAGACCUGGAUAUGGAUUUCAAUAUGAUAGUCGACAAAGUGGCACAAAUGCACAGCCUGAGAAAAGAGUUUUCCAGGGAAGCAAAUGGAAAACUCAAAUGGGCUUUGAGAAGUGGUCGGUUUGGUCCAUUUACAGACGAGUUUGUUGACACUGAAUACCAGUUUGAUCACAAAUGUUGGAGUAGAAAAGCUCCACCUUAUACCGGAUUUAUAUAUGCCUGAGGUUUGAUACAAGUUCUAUGUGAAAAAGAAGAAGUAAACAGGCUUGUGGAUGAACUGGUUCUUCUGAGACAUAAAUAAUUUUAAUUAUCUAAAUGCAGCAUGGAAAAUGAGAUGUCAAAUUAUUACUUAACAUUGUAUCAUUUGUGUUGUUUUCUGCUGUUUAUCAUUGUGUAAUAUAUGUUUUGAUUGCCAUAGCAUGUAAAUGUUUUUUGCAAAUAAACUCAUUCAUUCAUUCAUUCAUAUUCAGUUUAAAUUUACAAUGUAGGAGUCAUAUGUGUGUGUAUAGAUUAAAGUUUAUGUCUAUUUUUUAAUUGUAAAAAUCAUUUGUCUAAUUACUAUUUUACCAUGAAUAAUACAGAAAAUAUGUUUUACCUGUUAUUAACUAAGUAAUAUGUAUUGUUCAAUGUCUACAAUCGUUGAAAUAGUUGAAAUUGACAGUGGUAUCUCAUUUAUAUUGACCAUAUAUUAUACAAUCAGUGAUAUAUCAUACAAGUACACACCAAUGUUUUAUGAAAUAACUAGUUAUUUACAUAUGUUAUAUUGCUAUUCAAAUUUGUUUUAUUUAUAAUAUUACUAUUAAUAAACAUCAGAAGCUUAGAUCCUAUUACUGUUAUUCCUAAUAGGAAUCCAUCAACUACAAUAACAUCAGAAAAUUUGUUGGAAAUGUUUUAAUCAAUUUUUUUCCAUCAAACCUGAUUAAUUAUAUUUAAUUAAUUAUAUUUCUUUGUAAAAUAUUUAAUUUUAAGUUUAGGACUGUUAGUUCAUCUGUUGGGCAUGUAUAAACUUUUUUUUUUUUUAUAAUUAUGAAUAAAUAUUUUUAAAAUUUA